GCUUAUAUAACCCGUAGCGCUAGCAGCGCAGAAAGGAGAGCCAUCCUGACGACUGGUACGAGCAACAACUAUGCUGCGAGCGGCGGACGGGUUCUUUCGGCAGUCGCCAGAUUACGGCAGUGGUCUACAGCAGGGAACUACGAUAGGAAUACCAGCUCUCUCGACUGCCGUGGUCCAACGGCACAGGACCUGUAACAGCAGAUGACUUCAUUCUGUACGCCACUAUCUGAACAGCUCAGCACCUCCUCAGUCCUCGAACAGCCUGCUGCGCCCGAACUUGACUGGAUAUCGACGGUUUCCAGCCACAGCGACCCCUCCAGUUCAAGACUUCCUAACCGACUUCGACGCUUGCCAAACGGCCGUACGAAUCACCGGCGAAGUCUUCCUGCGAAGAGUACAGCCAGCAGCUAGCUCGUGGCUGUCCUUCCGAUGACAUCUUGCACAGCCCCGUUUGAAAAGGUGGGAGGGGGCGUGGCGACAGCGAGUUGUUAUCGCUGAUAGCCCCCUUACACGUGCAGUAUCCCUCUCUAUUGAGAGGGAACCUGAAGCCGUAAUUUAAGCCGUAAAGCGCGGAAAAGAAAUGCAUCUUGACGGCUGUUGCGGACAGAUUACGACGCAGUGGUCUUCUGCGGGGAACGGCGGUGUAUGCGAAUAAACAUACUGUUGGUUAACCUGA
Molecule: long non-coding RNA, 676 nt
Organism: Ornithodoros turicata
Lineage: Eukaryota; Metazoa; Arthropoda; Arachnida; Ixodida; Argasidae
Exons: 2
Source: RefSeq, a predicted model, not a curated record